AUUUAUAUAGUUUAAUAAAACCUUACACUUUCAUUGUAAAAAUAGUAUCACACAUAUACUUAUAAAUU
Molecule: transfer RNA, 68 nt
Filed under: Tympanophyllum maximum
Lineage: Eukaryota; Metazoa; Arthropoda; Insecta; Orthoptera; Tettigoniidae
Description: tRNA-Glu
Source: RNAcentral